GAUGAACGCUAGCUACAGGCUUAACACAUGCAAGUCGAGGGGAAACGAUAGAGAAAGCUUGCUUUUUCUAGGCGUCGACCGGCGCACGGGUGAGUAACGCGUAUCCAACCUGCCCAUCACUUGGGGAUAACCUUGCGAAAGUAAGACUAAUACCCAAUGGUAUCUCUAGAAGACAUCUGAAGGAGAUUAAAGAUUUAUCGGUGAUGGAUGGGGAUGCGUCUGAUUAGCUUGUUGGCGGGGUAACGGCCCACCAAGGCGACGAUCAGUAGGGGGUCUGAGAGGGAGGUCCCCCACAUUGGAACUGAGACACGGUCCAAACGCCUACGGGAGGCAGCAGUGAGGAAUAUUGGUCAAUGGGCGAGAGCCUGAACCAGCCAAGUAGCGUGCAGGAUGACGGCCCUAUGGGUUGUAAACUGCUUUUAUAAGGGAAUAAAGUGAGUCUCGUGAGGCUUUUUGCAUGUACCUUAUGAAUAAGGACCGGCUAAUUCCGUGCCAGCAGCCGCGGUAA
This 508-nucleotide ribosomal RNA is filed under the name uncultured bacterium. Its description in RNAcentral is "partial 16S ribosomal RNA". It matches the Rfam family "Bacterial small subunit ribosomal RNA", at positions 28 to 523 of the family's 1533-position model. The record is from RNAcentral.